Molecule: ribosomal RNA, 486 nt
Filed under: Anoxybacillus flavithermus TNO-09.006
Lineage: Bacteria; Bacillati; Bacillota; Bacilli; Caryophanales; Anoxybacillaceae
Description: bacterial LSU rRNA
Rfam family: Bacterial large subunit ribosomal RNA
Source: RNAcentral
AGGGCCAUCGCUCAACGGAUAAAAGCUACCCCGGGGAUAACAGGCUUAUCUCCCCCAAGAGUCCACAUCGACGGGGAGGUUUGGCACCUCGAUGUCGGCUCAUCGCAUCCUGGGGCUGUAGUCGGUCCCAAGGGUUGGGCUGUUCGCCCAUUAAAGCGGUACGCGAGCUGGGUUCAGAACGUCGUGAGACAGUUCGGUCCCUAUCCGUCGCGGGCGUAGGAAAUUUGAGAGGAGCUGUCCUUAGUACGAGAGGACCGGGAUGGACGCACCGCUGGUGUACCAGUUGUUCCGCCAGGAGCACAGCUGGGUAGCUAUGUGCGGAAGGGAUAAGCGCUGAAAGCAUCUAAGCGUGAAGCCCCCCUCAAGAUGAGAUUUCCCAUCGCGUCAAGCGAGUAAGAUCCCUUGAAGAUGACAAGGUAGAUAGGUCCGAGGUGGAAGCGUGGCGACACGUGCAGCUGACGGAUACUAAUCGAUCGAGGACUUAAC